GAAUAAGAAGCGAAAAAUUUGCAUUCAAUUUCGACUUGAAUACUUGGUAACUAUUACCCUUAUUCU
Molecule: transfer RNA, 66 nt
Filed under: Thanmoia reticulipennis
Lineage: Eukaryota; Metazoa; Arthropoda; Insecta; Orthoptera; Acrididae
Description: Paratoacris reticulipennis tRNA-Arg
Source: RNAcentral